AUGAGAGGGGAACCAUAUCAGAUUUUUAAGGCAAAAAACCCUAGCUAUCUCUCACUUCUGAUCUCUCUAAACUUAGAGAGAUCACCCGCAUUCUCUAAAAUUGGAGACUCUUAUUUCUCUCUAUCUCACGCCUGUCAACCCCCCCUCCCUUUCUCGCCGGCCAACCGUCGGAUUUGACUACCGGUGGGUCUGGUCGGCCACCACUGCUACCACCUCACCUCCCUGCUCACAUCUCUCUCACUUCUCUCUCUGUUGCGACGAACUCACUGAAAAUCGGUGAACUUGCACAUGGCAUUUCAGAUCUAACAAGAUCUGGCUAUAAUUGAUGUUAAAUCUGGCGACCUCUAUGAAACUAACACCGCUUGACCGAAGAACAUUUUUUGAUAAUCUUUUGAAUGUUGAGGCGUCGUUCCGAUACUUUUGCCGUUGAAGCGGCGUCAUUGACUCUAGAACUCUCUAGAUCUGGCCAUUUGUCCAUUUUAUGCUAGUUGCCUGAAUUUUAGUUACCAGAACCUUGUUUUCAGUGACCCUCACAUUUUUCGGCGAGCUUCACCAGCGGACGACGCCAUUGUUUCUUUUGGUACUAUUCGGGUGUUUGUUUUCCCUAUUGUUAUGGUCGAUGGCUCCUGUCUCGGUAUUAUUGGACUUCGUCCCUAUGAUGUUGGUUUUUAUGUUGGUUGGACUCUUGAUUUUUUUCGGCAAUCUCUUUGGUCGCUAUUUUGUGUUAUUGUUUAUGUUCAUGGAUGUUAAUGUUUUAAUUCUUUUGGUUGACUUAUCUUUAUGGUGAUGGAUGUUGUCGGCUUUAACUCCACUGUGGCUCCCUCUACUAGCCGAAAAUUCGUUGAUGAUUUUAAGACUAUUUGCCUCUUUAAUAAUAGUAUCUUUGUUUAGGCUCAGUUAUUUCUUGUCCACGUUGUCGAUGCUGUUGUGCGGAUGCUUUAACAGUAUUCAUGUCGUGGAUUUUGUUGUGAUAUGCUCGAUGGGAAUACUUUUUAGAGGUACGAUGCCCCGAAUGACUCUCAGAUUUGGCCUGAAAUAACGAGCCGAUGGUGAUAAACAUCGAAAAGGAAAAAGAUGAGAAUUUGACGAACCAAUAGCCCUUCGAAAAUACGACACAAUUAGCUAUCUAGUCGCAACCAAGGCGGUUAUCGUUAUCAUGUCUAGUCGGAUAUUACAUAUAUCUGAGCCUCCUAUAUUAUUUUUCUAAACUAUUUUCCAAUAAAUAAACAAUUUUCCAAAAGCAUUUUCAAACUAUUUUCAAAAACAAUCUUUCAAAAAUAUUUUCAAAUAAAAUCAUUUCAAAAUAAAUUAGUUUAUUAUUUACUUUAUAUUUUACUAAUAAUUUCCCUUCUUUUGUCUUGCGAGGUACUAUCACACGAGGUUGCUUUCGGAAGAUGAUACCCGAAGACGAAAAGACAAAUCCCCGUCAAGCCUCCCAUUUCGUAACUUCCCUUCUUAGAUGUACAAAACGCAAGGUGCAACAACAUGGCGACUCUACUGGGGAUACUUCAGUUUCUAAUCACAGCGGACUUGAUCAAUUACUUGAGGGAUUACAGAUACAGGUACUUCCUACUAGCCCAGGCACAAGUCAGACAAGCUCAGCUUCGGAGAGUCCGCAGGCCUCAGAGUCACCCUCUAUCUAGUUUACUUCAUUUUCUUUCCCUUUCAUAGACACUGUUGUAUAGGGAUGAUCAGUAUUUAUUCGUAGAGCUUGUGACUUGUUAUCACCAGAUUUUGGGAAGUUUUGUUAUGCUGAGUUGAGAAGUUUCUUUUAUGAUAGUUGUUGAGAAUUUGAGAGAGUUUUAUCAA
Nicotiana tabacum (common tobacco) is the source of this 1809-nucleotide long non-coding RNA. RefSeq lists it as uncharacterized. NCBI's taxonomy places the organism in Eukaryota, Viridiplantae, Streptophyta, Magnoliopsida, Solanales, Solanaceae. The record is from RefSeq and is a predicted model, not a curated record.